GCUAUUUCCACUCGUUUCUCUCUCUCCUCAUCCAUUCUGUUCUCCCUCCUCCGUCCCGAUCUAGAUCCCACCGCCCAAUCCUCUCCCCUUCCCCUCCAUCUCCAUGGCGAGCCACCUCCCCCUUUCACAUCUGGCCGCGCCUCCCAAACCCUCUCCCACCUCCAUCGCGGUGCUUCCCAACGGGCUACCUCCAUCUGCACAAAUACCAACGAGAUCCGGGUUGACGGGACACCGAUGAUAUAGUCAUCAACCGCCGCCCCCCGGUGCCUCGUGCGGGGUGAGGGGUGCGGGGUGUGUCAUCCACUUCGGAUCUGGCCGCGGCACGGGAAUGGUCCAUCGGAUCGGGCGGUGAUUGCAAGCUCUGCUCAAAUUUGAAUCGGAAUAAACCUGGCUGAAUUUGCAAUCUGCACUAUGGAGGUACAUGCUGCGAUUAACUAGGUUUUGAGUUCAUAAUCAAUGUUUUGCGGACAGCUAAAUUUUGUUAGCAGACCUCUCGCCAAGCAACUUUUAUCCCUGCGACACUGAAGAAACAGAAGCUUGCGAUCAUCAUGAAGCGGCUUUCUCUUUCCACGGUGUGCACAUGACCACUCUUACAUGUUUGAUAGCUCUCAAUAUAGGUAAGUGCAUUUGGAAGAGUGUUCAAACAUGAAUUGAAGGAUGACUAUCAUAUAAGCUUCUUGCUUGAGAAUGGCACAGGAUAUGGAUCAGUACGGGCUGUGGCGAGCCAUCAACUCUUCAUGCAGAGUUAAUGUCUAUUUGCACUGUAUGCUAUUAUUCCUUAGUGACCAUGAUCACUUCCCCUUACUUGGUGUUCUCUCUCGAGUCGCAGAGAUGGUGACUACGUUGUUGGUGGUGGUGGUUUGAGAGAAACUGAAUUGAAAAGGUUCCUAGACCUAUACUCUGUGAGGUAUCAUAUGCAAUUGGGAUUCAAGUUUUUCAUAAUUUUCUGUAGCUUGAUACUGUGCCAAGCCACGAUCCUAUCUCCUCUCUGCCGUGGUGUAAGUGAUGCGGGGAGGCCAGUGUGGUUGAGGGAGAUCUUGCCCGUAAGGUGCCAUUUGGCCUACUCCUCUUGUCCUCAGCCCGUUCAAGUGCUGGGAUUUGAAAAGCUAGAGAUGCAUUUUUUCCAGGGAGUCUGACAUGGAUUUUAAAACUGAGAAGGAAGUGUCAAAACUUAUCAAAAGUAAACAAUUUGUUCCCUCUUGGCCUUUUGUUUACAAAUGCACUAUUAUUGAGAUAGAGAAUGCACGUCAACUGCACAACAAAUUAUCAUGACUUUCAAUUUUCCAAUCUUUCCACAUAAUUUUGUUUGUAUUGUUUAGUUUGCUUUCUCUUUUCCAAUCUUGCACGUAAUUUUGUUGUCAAACAGAUGGGCCGUGAGUUUGGAUUUCGGCGUGGCCGCUGCUCAUUCUGCCACCUUGCUACAUGUCCUCACUGCGGACUGCACCCAGUCCGCCUCCACUGUGUCCUGCGCUGCUUCGGCAUCCCAUUACUCGUAGGACAAUGGCCCCGCGGCGCCGACGUCAUCGACCACAGCAAUGCCGACGCUGCCUGGGACGUGUACUGGAUUGAGGCUCUGUGAUACGAGUAGAUUACCCAAGAGGGUUCACACUUGCAUAUCAGUGUUCACAAGUGCUACUAGUAGUACUAUGUUUUAGGUUGUUGUUGCUGCUCCUUCGAGUUGUGAUAUUUCUGGCAUGAUCUCCUCCAGGACCAGGAAUGUACAUUUGAAUUUCUGAUUUGAGAUGGAUCGUGGAAUAA
Triticum dicoccoides is the source of this 1758-nucleotide RNA transcript. RefSeq lists it as uncharacterized. The transcript is spliced from 2 exons. The record is from RefSeq and is a predicted model, not a curated record. NCBI's taxonomy places the organism in Eukaryota, Viridiplantae, Streptophyta, Magnoliopsida, Poales, Poaceae.